Molecule: transfer RNA, 71 nt
Filed under: Dipodomys ordii (Ord's kangaroo rat)
Lineage: Eukaryota; Metazoa; Chordata; Mammalia; Rodentia; Heteromyidae
Rfam family: tRNA
About the family: Transfer RNA (tRNA) molecules are approximately 80 nucleotides in length. Their secondary structure includes four short double-helical elements and three loops (D, anti-codon, and T loops).
Source: Rfam by way of RNAcentral
UGGAUAGUGACUUAUUGGUAGAGUGCUUGCCUAGCAUGCAUGAAGCCCUAGGUUCGAUUCCUCACUACCAC